RNAcentral lists this ribosomal RNA (460 nucleotides) under uncultured bacterium. RNAcentral describes it as "partial 16S ribosomal RNA". It matches the Rfam family "Bacterial small subunit ribosomal RNA", at positions 338 to 795 of the family's 1533-position model. The record is from RNAcentral.
CCUACGGGAGGCUGCAGUGAGGAAUAUUGGUCAAUGGUCGGGAGACUGAACCAGCCAUGCCGCGUGCGGGAGGAAGGUACAGAGUAUCGUAAACCGCUUUUGUCAGAGGACAAAGGCUGGGACGCGUAUCCGGCUGAGAGUAUCGGACGAAAAAGCAUCGGCUAACUCCGUGCCAGCAGCCGCGGUAAUACGGAGGGUGCGAGCGUUACCCGGAAUUACUGGGCGUAAAGAGCGCGUAGGCGGGCUAGCAAGUCAGAGGUGAAAUCCUGUGGCUUAACCACAGACCGGCAUUUGAAACUGUCAUUCUAGAGUAUGAGAGAGGUAGGCGGAAUGCUUGGUGUAGCGGUAAAAUCCGUAGAGAUCAAGCGGAACACUGAUUGCGAAGGCGACAUGCCAGCACAUCACUGACGCUGAGGCGCGAAAGCGUGGGUAGCGAACAGGAUUAGAUACCCGAGUAGUC